Long non-coding RNA from Syngnathus typhle (broad-nosed pipefish), 1900 nucleotides. RefSeq lists it as uncharacterized. The record is from RefSeq and is a predicted model, not a curated record. The transcript has 2 exons. NCBI's taxonomy places the organism in Eukaryota, Metazoa, Chordata, Actinopteri, Syngnathiformes, Syngnathidae.
UGUCUAUAUGUGAUUUAUUUUUCCACAGAAACCAGACUAAACACGUUUCAUGUAAAUUUGAAUUCAUGGGUAGUGAAAUAGAGGAGAAACAGGCUACGAUUAUCAAGACAGAAAAAAAAAAACCAUUAGCAUGCCUUGUCUGGAAAGAGUGGAACAGCCUACGGCCUCAAAACAAACUAGUAUUUUGCCAAAAAUCCACCAACAUAAGGUCAAAAAUUGGCCAAGGCUGUUGCGUGGAUUUAACCAAUGGCAGUGGACUGGGUGUUAAAGUGACCCCUUUAAAGAGUGUACAAACUUUUUUUAUGGAUGGCUGGACGGACAAAUGGACAGAGGGAUGGGCGGCACCCAGUAGAACGCUGACCUCCAAUAAAGGAGUCCGCCCUUGUUUAUUGUCAUAUUUGAUGUUGAUUUCAGGAUGUGUAAUAAUAAUUUCCCAACAAGUUUAAUCUAAAAACACUUAAAUACAUUUUCCAACACCCAAAACAACUUAAACCAAGAAUCAACAAUGAUCAACCAUAUUAGCUUCUGCCCCAAACAAUAAGCAAAUCUCCAUAGGCCUGACCUUAAAGGAUCCCGCUGCAAUAUGGGCGAGAGAGCAGAGUAGACAAAGCGAGAAAGAGAGAGAGAGAGGGGGGGCUAUCUUACUGAUGGCACCAGGAUGCCGGCACCCCGGCCUGGCAGUUGGCACCAGGCAUGUGCUCCUAGCGCCCACAGCAACUGCCUGCGUUUUUAGAUUUAUGAGCGUACGAUAGAUGAAGACCUCCAUCUUGCCAUCUGCAAUCUCCCCCCCCCCCGAUCCCGUCUAAGCUUCCAGUCACUGACGACACCGGGGAGGCGUAUUUCUGAUUCCAAUCUGGUGCCGCCGCGCCCCGUCCACAGUAGCCAUGGUUGGAAACAUUUUUUUUUUUCAAACUGACAAUAAUAGAAUUUCACUGUAAAGGCUACGUCGAGAACGUGGGUGGAUUUGGUGGCGACUGACCACAGCUUAAGUUAAAGGACACCAGUCAUUUGCCAAAAAGUGGCCACUUAAAUCGAAAAAAGUCGGAUCUGCUGUCGGGUGGGAGGCUGUAACCGGCAAGCGAUCCCAAGAGGGAUGCUACAUCACCACACGGAUUCUGGAAAAUGUAUUCGGCGACUUGUGUCGUACAUCAUUUUAAAACUCUUGAUGAGGAAUUUCCAUCUCUCUUUUUUGUUUGUGUGUGUGUAUGUGUGUGACGGCAAAAUUGUUUUAAAUAGCGGCGAAUCCAGCCGUGCCCUUUUGAAGCGUGGCGACCAAAUUAUUAACAAAAAGGUCAGCAUGUGUAAAAAAAAAAAAGAGUUUUACAAUCAAUGUAGCUUGAAAAGAGCUUUGAGUAAAAGCAUUUGCCUGAUCCUGUGAUGGACUCGAGAAUAUGUCGGUUAUUGACUGCGAACUAAAACGGAAUAUCCCCCCCAAAAAUAAUCGAUGGAGUAAUUGAUAGGAUCAUUCGAUUCCAAAAAGAUUGCCGUAAUUUAAACAACUAAAAUCAACAAAAUGGAAGCAAACGUGCUUAGAAUACACGAAAACGUGACGGCCAACCUGCCCUUCUCCAUCUUUGACUGUUUUUAACAAAGCCUUUCCACUCCCCUCUCCUUCCAUCUAUCCCUCCCUUCCUCCCUCCCCCCAUGGCCUGAGGGGAGGCUCUCGGCCUCCCAGACGCUUACAGACAGAUGUCCUUGGCGGAGCACAACAUGCUCUGCUUGACGUCACAAGCGACUGCGGGGUUGCGAACGACGCUAAAUGGAAUCGCCGGCUGAAGACGCUGCCGUUAAAGGUUGACCGGACCCUCGGCCACCUCCCCCAUUUUUUCUCCGACAGGACACAGUGGUAACACCUCCGAUAAGAAUAUGAAGCGCCCGGGAGGACAUUGCUGGCAUGGAA